UACGUAGGGGGCAAGCGUUGUCCGGAUUCAUUGGGCGUAAAGGGCGCGUAGGCGGCCUGCUAAGUCGGAUGUGAAAUCCCUCGGCUCAACCGAGGAACUGCAUCCGAUACUGGCGGGCUUGAAUCCGGGAGAGGGAUGUGGAAUUCCAGGUGUAGCGGUGAAAUGCGUAGAUAUCUGGAGGAACACCGGUGGCGAAGGCGGCAUCCUGGACCGGUAUUGACGCUGAGGCGCGAAAGCUAGGGGAGCAAACGGG
RNAcentral lists this ribosomal RNA (253 nucleotides) under uncultured bacterium. RNAcentral describes it as "partial 16S ribosomal RNA". It matches the Rfam family "Bacterial small subunit ribosomal RNA", at positions 524 to 776 of the family's 1533-position model. The record is from RNAcentral.